Molecule: unclassified non-coding RNA, 334 nt
Filed under: soil metagenome
Description: partial contains 5.8S ribosomal RNA, internal transcribed spacer 2, and large subunit ribosomal RNA
Rfam family: 5.8S ribosomal RNA (bases 1-120)
Source: RNAcentral
GAUGAAGAACGUAGCGAAAUGCGAUACGUAACGUGAAUUGCAGAAUUCAGUGAAUCAUCGAAUCUUUGAACGCACAUUGCGCCUGCCAGCACUCUGGCAGGCAUGCCUGUUCGAGCGUCAUUUCAACCAUCAAGCCCUAGGCUUGCGUUGGAGCCCUGCGGCUGCCGCAGGCCCCUAAAAGCAGUGGCGGGCUCGCUAUCACACCGAGUGCAGUAGAUUACUCUUCGCUCAGGGCGUGUGGCGGGUUCCAGCCGUGAAACCCCCUACUUCUCAAGGUUGACCUCGGAUCAGGUAGGAAUACCCGCUGAACUUAAGCAUAUCAAUAAGCGGAGGA